RNAcentral lists this ribosomal RNA (485 nucleotides) under uncultured bacterium. RNAcentral's name for it is "partial 16S ribosomal RNA". It matches the Rfam family "Bacterial small subunit ribosomal RNA", at positions 30 to 507 of the family's 1533-position model. The record is from RNAcentral.
AUUGAACGCUGGCGGCAUGCCUUACACAUGCAAGUCGAACGGCAGCACGGGUGCUUGCCCCUGGUGGCGAGUGGCGAACGGGUGAGUAAUACAUCGGAACAUGUCCUGUAGUGGGGGAUAGCCCGGCGAAAGCCGGAUUAAUACCGCAUACGAUCUACGGAUGAAAGCGGGGACCUUCGGGCCUCGCGCUAUAGGGUUGGCCGAUGGCUGAUUAGCUAGUUGGUGGGGUAAAGGCCUACCAAGGCGACGAUCAGUAGCUGGUCUGGGAGGACGACCAGCCACACUGGGACUGAGACACGGCCCAGACUCCUACGGGAGGCAGCAGUGGGGAAUUUUGGACAAUGGGCGAAAGCCUGAUCCAGCAAUGCCGCGUGUGUGAAGAAGGCCUUCGGGUUGUAAAGCACUUUUGUCCGGAAAGAAAUCCUUGGCCCUAAUACGGUCGGGGGAUGACGGUACCGGAAGAAUAAGCACCGGCUAACUACGUG